RNAcentral lists this ribosomal RNA (465 nucleotides) under Vreelandella stevensii. RNAcentral's name for it is "partial 16S ribosomal RNA". It matches the Rfam family "Bacterial small subunit ribosomal RNA", at positions 338 to 795 of the family's 1533-position model. The record is from RNAcentral. Lineage: Bacteria; Pseudomonadati; Pseudomonadota; Gammaproteobacteria; Oceanospirillales; Halomonadaceae.
CCUACGGGGUGCUGCAGUGGGGAAUAUUGGACAAUGGGCGAAAGCCUGAUCCAGCCAUGCCGCGUGUGUGAAGAAGGCCUUCGGGUUGUAAAGCACUUUCAGUGGGGAAGAAAGCCUUGGGGCUAAUACCCUCGAGGAAGGACAUCACCCACAGAAGAAGCACCGGCUAACUCCGUGCCAGCAGCCGCGGUAAUACGGAGGGUGCGAGCGUUAAUCGGAAUUACUGGGCGUAAAGCGCGCGUAGGCGGUCUGAUAAGCCGGUUGUGAAAGCCCCGGGCUCAACCUGGGAACGGCAUCCGGAACUGUCAGGAUAGAGUGCAGGAGAGGAAGGUAGAAUUCCCGGUGUAGCAGUGAAAUGCGUAGAGAUCGGGAGGAAUACCAGUGGCGAAGGCGGCCUUCUGGACUGACACUGACGCUGAGGUGCGAAAGCGUGGGUAGCAAACAGGAUUAGAUACCCCUGUAGUC